GGCGCCGUGGCUUAGUUGGUUAAAGCGCCUGUUUUAUAAACAGGAGGUUGUGAGUGCGAAUCUCACCCACUGGUGCCU
Non-coding RNA from Rhipicephalus microplus (southern cattle tick), 78 nucleotides. The record is from the annotation of a RefSeq genome assembly. Lineage: Eukaryota; Metazoa; Arthropoda; Arachnida; Ixodida; Ixodidae.